CGCACAUGCUGUCCCUCAGCCCUGCAAGAACCAUCUGCUGGAGCUGAGUGGAGGCUGCCUCCUUCGGAUGGGACCUGUACCCUUUACUCCUCUAUCGCUGUGCCACACCAAUCCAUCAUCACACUUACAAUGUCAUCUUCUCAGAGACAACCCGUAAACCCCUCGGGGCCCAAAGGCCACGCCUCACUCGACAGCUCGGGAAAGCCAGGCACAGGGGGAGAAGCAACCUGCCGAGGUCAUGCAGUGACAUGGAGCCACAGCCUGGCUUCCUGACACCCCUUCUGCCCUAUCAGGCUGAUGCCCAGACUUGUUCUUGGAGCCCUUACCUGCAACUUAAGAUGUCUAACUCCUGAAGCUGCCAUGCUGGAAGGAAGCCCAAGACACUUGAAGAGGCCACAUG
This is a long non-coding RNA of Rhinopithecus roxellana (golden snub-nosed monkey), 400 nucleotides long. RefSeq lists it as uncharacterized. The transcript has 3 exons. Lineage: Eukaryota; Metazoa; Chordata; Mammalia; Primates; Cercopithecidae. The record is from RefSeq and is a predicted model, not a curated record.